RNAcentral lists this long non-coding RNA (353 nucleotides) under Gossypium barbadense (sea-island cotton). RNAcentral describes it as "long non-coding RNA (GBAR_LNC015823)". The record is from RNAcentral. Lineage: Eukaryota; Viridiplantae; Streptophyta; Magnoliopsida; Malvales; Malvaceae.
CGACACCCCCCUGUGCAGUAUAGUAAGCCUGUCUGUCGUAUGCUGCGACGUGUCCAUAUCCAGCAUCUGUUACACCACUGCUUGGCGGCCUUACCACCUGUUGUGGUAUCGUUGAUAUCGGCUGGUGUUGAGUGGGCGGAGGUUGAGGUUGGGCCACCAUGUUGUAAACGGGUUGCUCCCGGUAAACUUCAUGAGGCAUUCUCUGUAAGUUGGUGUAGUAGCCUUGACCGGCUUGUCCGGUUACUGGUCGAACCAUUUGUGGUGCUGCUGAUGCUGAUGCAGGUGCUGGAGCUGGAACUGGUGGAGGUGCGUGAUAGAGGUUGGCCGGAGCCGAUCCUGGAACUGGAGCUGGG